UGUAAUGAAUCAUGCGAAUGUUUUGCCUUGGGUGGGUUGUUAGUCAUGGCUUUGUGAUGGCGUUAUGCUUCUACACAAGGUUUCUUGUGCAUGUUCUUGUUACAUGCACCCGGUGAUUUAGAUGUUUGUGUGAAUAUAUAUGGUUGUUGGAUUAUGUGUAGUUAUACGUGGCCAUGUGGCAACGCUCAAAUAGCCUGAAUUUGUAUUAGCAUGAUCUUUGUUGUGGUAUAACGGUCAUUAUCGACCAAUUUAUGUGAAUAGACUAGUAUAGACAUAGUUUGUGAUUCCUCUAUACUUAUGGUCUAGAUGGCGCUUUGCGCAUGUAUGAAUGUUUGUGAUGAUGUUUUGCGUACGGUUACUUUAAUGUAACCUACAGAAAUGUGAAGACGUGUCUAGCCUGGGUGUGAUGUUUAGUAUGAUGAUGGGUACAACUUUUGAUGGGUACGACCAUGUGAAUUUUAUACAAUUGGGUGGUUGACGAGUGGCGGUAGCCACGAAAUGUGAUAAGUGUAUUUACCUAGGUUUAGAAAUUGAGUAUAUGAAGUUAGAGGAUGGUAGUUGGGUGAGAUAUGACAGGGUGUUGACGAGCUAAUAAUAACUGGGAAUUUGACGGUGCCUACAACACUAUCACUGGCAAAGGGACGAUGUCGCUAGUGACAAGACAAAUCAUGGAAAGAGGAUGGCUUGUUACUGAUGGAACUCUCAUGCGUAAGUUAAUAUAUUGAGAGUUUUGGAAGGUUACACUAUAGUGAUCAAGUAGUAGAGAUGUGAAUUACGAAACGUGAAUGCCUAACGAGAAAGGUGUCAAAUGACGAGCUGUAUGUGGGUUGUAAGGGCGACUGAUAGAAAUCUCAGGUUGAGAGCAGGUGAUGAAUAAUAAAUACUCUUGUCGAAACCGAGUAUGGUAUUCGAAUUGGGAAUAGAAACAACGUUAAUAAUGUCUUACAGUGGUAGAGAGUCACACAAGGGUGCAGGCAUGGAAUGACAAGAUAAUGGAUGUAUGCAGUUAUAUUCGAGCAAGGAUUCGAGGACGAAUCCUCUUUUAAGGGGGGGUAGACUUGUAACAUCCCAAAUUCUUCCUACCCAAUUUUAUUUUGUGAGAAAUUACCGAAUCUAGUUUGCGAGCACGAGACGAAGCAUGGUUUUAAUCACAACAAAUUUAAUUUGGUGAAACUUGAGGGGGCACUAGGUAAUUUAUAAAACUAUAACAUAUUACUUUAUGGACAUGUUGAUUUAUGGAAGAACUAAAGGGACUUUAUUGUAAAUUCUCAAUUUAUAUAACCAUUCUCCUUUCAUCACGUAAAAAAAAAAUCUAGAGAUCCUCAUCAUCAUCUUUGCGAAACCCUAUUGCGCCGCAACCACCAUCCAAAACAUGUAUCCUUCAUCUCAUUUAACAUGAUCAAGCACGAACCUUGAUUCCUUCGCGACUUCGAAUUCAUCUCAAUAGGCCUGUAUUGUUCCGGUAGCGGUAGCGGAAACAAGAUUGAUCAGGUUAGUUCGUAUGCUUUGAUCUCGUUUCGCUUAAGUCGUUGUAUAAGAGUUCUUGGGGUCGGGUUGUCGGCUGAAAACAAAACCAUGUUGAGACGCGUUAGAUCAGGAUUCCGGGGUUUCGAAGGCUGCCAUCUAAGAGCUCUUGAAGCUUGGUGGGUGUUGAUCUCAAACUACAGUACGGGUACAUAAUCUUUGAAAAACUCACGGUCUUGUCCGAUGGUUGGGUUCGGGAUGAACAAAACGGUUUGUCGGAAUCACGACCCGCACAUGGUAGGGUCACGGCUUGGGUGGUUAAAAGAAACCCGAUUAGAUUUACAUGUUGUUGAUUAUCCUAAAUUAAUCACGACAGGAACUUGAAGCCUUGUUACAUGACAGAACCGAGCCGUGAGUACUGUGUAGUUGGCGAUAUGGCGUGGCUUCUUUGUUAAGGUGCUUGUGGUUAAGGUUUAGGGUGGUAUAGUGGUUGUGAAGUUGUGAUUAUGAAGACAACAUGGAAUUAUAAUUAUAUACCUUGAUACAUGGGGUGUAGGUGUGUGCAUGAUACUUUAUAAAUCAAGUCUAAAGUGGCUCAAGGAUGACAAGACGAUGAUGACUUGAAAAAAACAUAGAAGUUUGUAAUCUCAUGGUGGUUAUAUCGUGCAUGCAUCAGCUAAGUGGAGGUAUGCAGUUUAGGUUUUGAUAUUAUAAUUAACUGUGUUUUUUUAAGCAUGCAU
This 2204-nucleotide long non-coding RNA is filed under the name Helianthus annuus (common sunflower). RNAcentral describes it as "hypothetical non coding rna". Lineage: Eukaryota; Viridiplantae; Streptophyta; Magnoliopsida; Asterales; Asteraceae. The record is from RNAcentral.